This 460-nucleotide ribosomal RNA is filed under the name uncultured bacterium. Its description in RNAcentral is "partial 16S ribosomal RNA". It matches the Rfam family "Bacterial small subunit ribosomal RNA", at positions 338 to 795 of the family's 1533-position model. The record is from RNAcentral.
CCUACGGGAGGCAGCAGUGAGGAAUAUUGGUCAAUGGACGAGAGUCUGAACCAGCCAAGUAGCGUGAAGGAUGCCUGCCCUAUGGGUUGUAAACUUCUUUUAUAUGGGAAUAACAUGUUCCACGUGUGGGAUUUUGUAUGUACCAUAUGAAUAAGGAUCGGCUAACUCCGUGCCAGCAGCCCCGGUAAUACGGAGGAUUCGAGCGUUAUCCGGAUUUAUUGGGUUUAAAGGGAGCGUAGGUGGAUUGUUAAGUCAGUUGUGAAAGUUUGCGGCUCAACCGUAAAAUUGCAGUUGAAACUGGCAGUCUUGUGUACAGUAGAGGUGGGCGGAAUUCGUGGUGUAGCGGUGAAAUGCUUAGAGAUCACGAAGAACUCCGAUGGCGAAGGCAGUUCACUGGACUGCAACUGACACUGAGGCUCGAAAGUGUGGGGAUCAAACAGGAUUAGAUACCCCAGUAGUC